Molecule: small nucleolar RNA, 131 nt
Organism: Jaculus jaculus (lesser Egyptian jerboa)
Lineage: Eukaryota; Metazoa; Chordata; Mammalia; Rodentia; Dipodidae
Source: Ensembl
AUGCCAGCCAAUAAGUCUGCUUAUCCGAAUGUGUUUCUGCAGAAAUUUAGAAAAAGCUGGCAAUCGUAAUGCCAUUUUAUGAGCCUCAGUGACAACUGAGAUCAUUAAGGUCCCUGAAAAUGACUACAAUA